Molecule: small nucleolar RNA, 94 nt
Organism: Salmo salar (Atlantic salmon)
Lineage: Eukaryota; Metazoa; Chordata; Actinopteri; Salmoniformes; Salmonidae
Source: RefSeq, a predicted model, not a curated record
CGCCGAUGAUGAUCCCGCCAUGCUAAUACUGAUGCACCAGACUGACGGUGUGUCUCUCUGGGUGCAAGUGAGUUAGUAUGAGAAAGUGAGGCUG